AGAGUUUGAUCAUGGCUACAGAACGAACGCUGGCGGCAGGCCUAACACAUGCAAGUCGAACGAGUAAGAGCCGUAGCAAUACGGAGUUCUGCUAGUGGCGCACGGGUGAGUAACACGUGGGAAUCUGCCUUUGGUUCGGGAUAACCGCGGGAAACUGCGGCUAAUACCGAAUGCCCUCGAGAGAGGAAAGAUUUAUCGCCAGAAGAGGAGCCCGCGUCCGAUUAGGUAGUUGGUGGGGUAAAGGCCUACCAAGCCGACGAUCGGUAGCUGGUCUGAGAGGAUGAUCAGCCACACUGGGACUGAGAUACGGCCCAGACUCCUACGGGAGGCAGCAGUGGGGAAUAUUGGACAAUGGGGGCAACCCUGAUCCAGCAAUGCCGCGUGAGUGAUGAAGGCCUUAGGGUUGUAAAGCUCUUUUGCCAGGGAAGAUGAUGACUGUACCUGGAGAAUAAGCCCCGGCUAACUUCGUG
Molecule: ribosomal RNA, 470 nt
Filed under: uncultured bacterium
Lineage: Bacteria
Description: bacterial SSU rRNA
Rfam family: Bacterial small subunit ribosomal RNA
Source: RNAcentral